RNAcentral lists this ribosomal RNA (253 nucleotides) under uncultured bacterium. RNAcentral's name for it is "partial 16S ribosomal RNA". It matches the Rfam family "Bacterial small subunit ribosomal RNA", at positions 524 to 776 of the family's 1533-position model. The record is from RNAcentral.
UACGAAGGGGGCUAGCGUUGCUCGGAAUCACUGGGCGUAAAGCGCACGUAGGCGGACUCUUAAGUCAGGGGUGAAAUCCUGGAGCUCAACUCCAGAACUGCCUUUGAUACUGGGAGCCUUGAGUUCGGGAGAGGUGAGUGGAAUUGCGAGUGUAGAGGUGAAAUUCGUAGAUAUUCGCAGGAACACCAGUGGCGAAGGCGGCUCACUGGUCCGAUACUGACGCUGAGGUGCGAAAGCGUGGGGAGCAAACAGG